This 206-nucleotide long non-coding RNA is filed under the name Elaeis guineensis (African oil palm). RNAcentral describes it as "long non-coding RNA (EGUI_LNC037983)". Lineage: Eukaryota; Viridiplantae; Streptophyta; Magnoliopsida; Arecales; Arecaceae. The record is from RNAcentral.
CCUGCCUUGUUCGCAUCAUGAUAACAUUCACCGACAAUGGCAUCAAAGGUGGGACCAAUCCAAAGAAUUAAUAAUGAUAGAGGACUAUGAAGGGAGACAAUUCAAGGGGAUGUCAAUAGCAAUAGUGGCUAUGGAGGGGUUUGUCAUUAUGGUGUUACUCGUUGGGAAGAGGGCUCCAGCCAUUAUGGAAGCCCUUCCUUGUUGGG